RNAcentral lists this ribosomal RNA (435 nucleotides) under uncultured bacterium. RNAcentral's name for it is "partial 16S ribosomal RNA". It matches the Rfam family "Bacterial small subunit ribosomal RNA", at positions 29 to 507 of the family's 1533-position model. The record is from RNAcentral.
AACGAACGCUGGCGGCAGGCCUAACACAUGCAAGUCGAGCGGACAUCUUCGGAUGUUAGCGGCGGACGGGUGAGUAACGCGUGGGAACGUGCCCUUUGCUUCGGAAUAGCUUCGGGAAACUGGGAGUAAUACCGGAUGUACCCUUUGGGGGUAAGAUUUAACGGCAAAGGAUCGGCCCGCGUUGGAUUAGGUAGUUGGUGGGGUAAUGGCCUACCAAGCUGACGAUCCAUAGCUGGUUUGAGAGGAUGAUCAGCCACACUGGGACUGAGACACGGCCCAGACUCCUACGGGAGGCAGGAGUGGGGAAUCUUAGACAAUGGGGGAAACCCUGAUCUAGCCAUGCCGCGUGAGCGAUGAAGGCCUUAGGGUUGUAAAGCUCUUGCACCGGGGAAGAUAAUGACGGUACCCGGAGAAGAAGCCCCGGCUAACUACGUG